Molecule: ribosomal RNA, 684 nt
Filed under: Triticum aestivum (bread wheat)
Lineage: Eukaryota; Viridiplantae; Streptophyta; Magnoliopsida; Poales; Poaceae
Description: partial small subunit ribosomal RNA
Source: RNAcentral
AUGCAUGAGCAGUGGCAGAAGAUGCCGGAAAAACCAACACAGGAUUGGGCAUGGCCCGAAGCAGAAGAGGCUGCGAUGGUUAUGCUCGGAGUAGGGGCAUCUCGACACCGGAAGCUCGAUGCAGAGCAGGCGAAGCAAGGUCGCUGCUACCGAGCAGCUGCUGCGAGCCAAGCAGCAGCAUGGAGGCGGGGAAGCAGGAGCAAGGCGGCUUGUCGGCACGAGGUAAGGCAGCGACGCAGGCGAGGAGGAGUCCUAGCGGCGGAGCUCCAUGGGAGGCGCGAUCAUGCGCUGCUGCUGGAGCUUCUCAUGCAGAGGGGAAGCCGGCGGUGUCUAGGCACCGGGGAACCACAGCGAGGAGGAGAAGGGAGCAGGGGCGCGCGACUGGGGAAGGCACGUGGUGGUGGCUUGCUCCGGCGCGGGGAAGGUAAGGAAGAAGGGCACGGUGCUCGAGCACUGCGGGCGCGCGACGACGGCAGCAACGCCAUUGCCAGCGACGUCCCAUGGCACAACGCAUGGGAGGCUAAGAAGAGGAACGGAGUGGCCGGUCACUCGAGGUUGAGCUCGCGCGCGAGGGGAGAGGGUGAGGGCUCGGGGCUGCCUCUCUCUCCUCUGGUGGCGCACAGGAGGGAGGAAGGAAACGAGAGGGAGGUGGCGGCGCUAUGGGAGGGAGAGGGAGCCGAGUGA